Long non-coding RNA from Etheostoma cragini (Arkansas darter), 399 nucleotides. RefSeq lists it as uncharacterized. The transcript is spliced from 3 exons. Lineage: Eukaryota; Metazoa; Chordata; Actinopteri; Perciformes; Percidae. The record is from RefSeq and is a predicted model, not a curated record.
UCUUCCUCCCCAGACCCAGCAUGCUGUGCGGUGGUUCCGGGUCAGGAGACCCAGCUGGAGAUCUGUAAAGGUCGAUCCGGACUCGGGCUCAGCAUAGUGGGAGGAAGAGACACACAACUGGACGCCAUAGUGAUCCAUGAGGUUUACGAAGAAGGAGCCGCAGCCAGAGACGGACGGCUGUGGUCCGGAGACCAGAUACUCGAGGUGAACGGCGUGGACCUUCGCGGGGCGUCCCACGAGGACGCCAUCGCCGCCCUGAGACACACGCCAGCGAAGGUGUGUCUGACGGUGCUGAGGGACGAGACGCAGUACCGGGACGAGGAGAACCUGGACGUGUUCAAGGUGGAGCUGCAGAAGAAGAGCGGCCGAGGGCUCGGACUCAGCAUCGUCGGGAAAAGG